This 254-nucleotide ribosomal RNA is filed under the name uncultured bacterium. RNAcentral describes it as "partial 16S ribosomal RNA". It matches the Rfam family "Bacterial small subunit ribosomal RNA", at positions 524 to 776 of the family's 1533-position model. The record is from RNAcentral.
UACGUAGGGGGCGAGCGUUGUCCGGAUUUAUUGGGCGUAAAGAGCUCGUAGGCGGUUUCGUAAGUCGGAUGUGAAAACUCCAGGCUCAACUUGGAGACGCCAUUCGAUACUGCGAUGACUUGAGUCCGGUAGGGGAGUGUGGAAUUCCUGGUGUAGCGGUGAAAUGCGCAGAUAUCAGGAGGAACACCGGCGGCGAAGGCGGCUUCCUGGCCUGUUCUUGACGCUGAGGCGCGAAAGCUAGGGGAGCAAACGGG